ACGAGGAAUUUUUGCUAAGUAGAAGCUAGAUUGCAGUGUCCCAUACAAAAACCUGUAGCAUGAUGUAUUGUUCCUCAGUUCCUCUGUUAUUAUAUUAUAUAUAUAUAUAUUAUCCCAUGUUAAUGAGUACUUCUUCCUGAUACGAGUUCUGAGUAGGCUGGAUUCGAGUAGCUGUUUGUUCUUCUCUGCAGCAAUCAAACCUACUGCAAUCUGUAUGUUGAUAUCAAUUAGAUGCCAGAUUGGGAGAAGAGUAGAGUUCUGUAGAUAUGAAAGUCUAUGGCUUCGAUUAUACUAUUUCCUUGUUCGAAACGUGCUUGCAGGGUAAUGUGGAGAUUCGGUUUCCUGAGUGAUAGACAUUAUCACGCAUUCCUUAUAGACAUAUGCGUUACCUCUAUAGCACAAAGAUCCAAACUUUGGACAUUGGGAUUUGGGAUUAGUUUGUGGCAGAACAGAGUUACAAAGCCUAGGAGCAGAGCGAUUCCUUUAAGAGGAAUCUUUCUUGUUAGAUCCCUUCGAAAUUGACGUUGCUCAGUUUGUUUUAUUCGUUUGGUUUCAUGUGUCCUGCUAAUUUGCAGACGGUGGAUGCUAAGGCCUAAGCAGGCCGUUUUGGGAACUAAUUGUCGGCAAAAACAGAGACCUUGUGUGCCUUAUCCAUUACCACCACCAAAUCUCUUUUUAAAUCUGACGUGUCCUUAUCCACAUGGCGUAAACAAGAUACCACACGGAUCAUAUAUCUUGCAACAAAGCUUCGACUUCUCCGCAUCUCCCCUUCAAUUUUCAAAAGAUGGCAACUUUUUCUGCUAUGCAAACUUUCUGCGCAGGAAAUUCACCUCACAGAGUUGAUCAUCUUCGAGGAUGCAGCAGCUCUUCCGUAACACCAACUUGGAGUUCAAGCUCCAAGAAGAAGAAGAGCAUGAGAUCAUCAUUGACU
Molecule: long non-coding RNA, 931 nt
Filed under: Linum usitatissimum (flax)
Lineage: Eukaryota; Viridiplantae; Streptophyta; Magnoliopsida; Malpighiales; Linaceae
Description: long non-coding RNA (LUSI_LNC002139)
Source: RNAcentral